AUCCAAGGUGAUUCUCUCUCUAAGGGGACGAUUCAUGCCCUUCUCGGGAAAGUAGUCACUUUGAAUAAAAUCUGGCAUGCCUAAGGUCUUUGGAGGACAGGGCAUGCUUAUUUCCUUUGCCUUUCUUGGGCCGGUCACAUGU
Molecule: small nucleolar RNA, 142 nt
Filed under: Carlito syrichta (Philippine tarsier)
Lineage: Eukaryota; Metazoa; Chordata; Mammalia; Primates; Tarsiidae
Description: Small nucleolar RNA SNORA67 (ENSTSYG00000037585.1)
Rfam family: Small nucleolar RNA SNORA67
About the family: U67 belongs to the H/ACA class of snoRNAs which are thought to guide the sites of modification of uridines to pseudouridines.
Source: Rfam by way of RNAcentral